RNAcentral lists this ribosomal RNA (284 nucleotides) under uncultured fungus. RNAcentral describes it as "partial 18S small subunit ribosomal RNA". It matches the Rfam family "Eukaryotic small subunit ribosomal RNA", at positions 462 to 736 of the family's 1831-position model. The record is from RNAcentral. Lineage: Eukaryota; Fungi.
AGGUAGUGACAAUAAAUAACAAUAUAGGGCUCUUUCGGGUCUUAUAAUUGGAAUGGAGUACCAAUUUAAAUCCCUUAACGGAGGAACAAUUGGAGGGCAAGUCUGGUGCCAGCAGGCCCGCGGGUAAAUUCCAGCUCCAAUAGCGUAUAUUAAGUUGUUGCAGUUAAAAAAGCUCGUAGUUUGAACUUUCAGGCUUGGUUGGGCGGUCCGCCUUCACGGUGUGGUACUGGUCUGACUGAGUCUUAACCUCUUGGUGAACCCGGGGUGCCCUUUAUUGGUGGUGC